GCAUAUCAAUAAGCGGAGGAAAAGAAACCAACAGGGAUUGCCUUCAGUAACGGCGAAGUGAAGCGGCAACAGCUUCAAAUUUGAAAUCUGGCUGCCUUGUGCAGUCCGAGUUGUAAUUUGAAGAGGAUGCUUUUGGCAAGGUGCCUUCCGAGUUCCCUGGAAUGGGACGCCAUAGAGGGUGAGAGCCCCGUAUGGUCGGUCGCCGAGCCUCUGUAAAGCUCCUUCGACGAGUCGAGUAGUUUGGGAAUGCUGCUCAAAAUGGGAGGUAAACCCCUUCUAAAGCUAAAUACUGGCCAGAGACCGAUAGCGCACAAGUAGAGUGAUCGAAAGAUGAAAAGCACUUUGAAAAGAGAGUUAAACAGCACGUGAAAUUGUUGAAAGGGAAGCGCUUGCGACCAGACUUGUGCUCGUCGAAUCAGCCGUCGCUCGUCGGCGGCGCAUUUCGGCGGGCUCAGGCCAGCAUCAGUUCGCUGUGGGGGAGAAAGGCGGUAGGAAUGUGGCUCCUCGGAGUGUUAUAGCCUACCGUAUAAUACCCCUCGGCGGACUGAGGACCGCGCAUCUGCAAGGAUGCUGGCGUAAUGGUUGUCAGCGACCCGUCUUGAAACACGGACCAAGGAGUCGUCCUAAUAUGCGAGUGUUCGGGUGUCAAACCCCUACGCGUAAUGAAAGUGAACGGAGGUGAGAGCUUCGGCGCAUCAUCGACCGAUCCUGAUGUUCUCGGAUGGAUUUGAGUAUGAGCAUAUUGGGCCGGACCCGAAAGAAGGUGAACUAUGCCUGUAUAGGGUAAAGCCAGAGGAAACUCUGGUGGAGGCUCGCAGCGGUUCUGACGUGCAAAUCGAUCGUCAAAUAUGGGCAUGGGGGGCGAAAGACUAAUCGAACCUUCUAGUAGCUGGGUUUCCGCGA
RNAcentral lists this ribosomal RNA (903 nucleotides) under Petriella setifera. Its description in RNAcentral is "LSU rRNA". It matches the Rfam family "Eukaryotic large subunit ribosomal RNA", at positions 38 to 964 of the family's 3401-position model. Lineage: Eukaryota; Fungi; Ascomycota; Sordariomycetes; Microascales; Microascaceae. The record is from RNAcentral.